UACGUAGGGUGCAAGCGUUGUCCGGAAUUAUUGGGCGUAAAGGGCUCGUAGGCGGCCAACUAAGUCAGACGUGAAAUCCCUCGGCUUAACCGGGGAACUGCGUCUGAUACUGGAUGGCUUGAGUUUGGGAGAGGGAUGCGGAAUUCCAGGUGUAGCGGUGAAAUGCGUAGAUAUCUGGAGGAACACCGGUGGCGAAGGCGGCAUCCUGGACCAACACUGACGCUGAGUGAGCGAAAGCCAGGGGAGCAAACGGG
RNAcentral lists this ribosomal RNA (254 nucleotides) under uncultured bacterium. RNAcentral describes it as "partial 16S ribosomal RNA". It matches the Rfam family "Bacterial small subunit ribosomal RNA", at positions 524 to 776 of the family's 1533-position model. The record is from RNAcentral.